CUGGUAAGCAGUACCCUCCAGCUCCAGAUGCUGUCAUUUGGGCUUAAUGGGAAGCAUCAUCCUGGUACAGACUUGGCAGCAGGGAGCAUGUGCUGUGAAUCGUCUUAGGUACAACUUUUAAUGAGAGGUGACCCAUAAAGAAUGCGGCGUACUCCAAUCCCAAUCUUCUGCUACUUUGCACCUCCUUGAUUGAGCUAGAGUUAAAUG
This 207-nucleotide long non-coding RNA is filed under the name Elaeis guineensis (African oil palm). RNAcentral's name for it is "long non-coding RNA (EGUI_LNC014592)". Lineage: Eukaryota; Viridiplantae; Streptophyta; Magnoliopsida; Arecales; Arecaceae. The record is from RNAcentral.